GAGUUUGAUCCUGGCUCAGAACGAGCGCUGGCGGCAUGCCUAACACAUGCAAGUCGAACGAGACCCCUGACUUCGGUUGGCGGGUCUAGUGGCGCACGGGUGCGUAACGCGUGGGAAUCUGCCCUUCGGUUCGGAAUAACAGUUAGAAAUGACUGCUAAUACCGGAUAAUGACGUAAGUCCAAAGAUUUAUCGCCGAAGGAUGAGCCCGCGUAGGAUUAGGUAGUUGGUGGGGUAAAGGCCUACCAAGCCGACGAUCCUUAGCUGGUCUGAGAGGAUGAUCAGCCACACUGGGACUGAGACACGGCCCAGACUCCUACGGGAGGCAGCAGUGGGGAAUAUUGGACAAUGGGCGAAAGCCUGAUCCAGCAAUGCCGCGUGAGUGAUGAAGGCCUUAGGGUUGUAAAGCUCUUUUACCAGGGAUGAUAAUGACAGUACCUGGAGAAUAAGCUCCGGCUAACUCCGUGCCAGCAGCCGCGGUAAUACG
RNAcentral lists this ribosomal RNA (485 nucleotides) under uncultured eubacterium WR822. Its description in RNAcentral is "bacterial SSU rRNA". It matches the Rfam family "Bacterial small subunit ribosomal RNA", at positions 9 to 527 of the family's 1533-position model. The record is from RNAcentral.